GGAUGUGAGGCGAUCUGGUUGUGACAUCUGUCCUCCUGUGCAGCUAAACUGGCUGACUGGGCAGGUGUCUCCUCCCUCUUGCACAGCUCCAUGUACGGGCUUCCCGAAGGUGUGUGCUCGGUCGAAGUGGAUGACCAUCCCCGAUAAAGGAGAACUGGUCUUUGGUCAAGGGUAUAUGAGUAGCUGCACUCUCUGCUACGGAGAAGGCAGUGGCACCCCACUCCAGUACUCUUGCCUGGAAAAUCCCAUGGACGGAGGAGCCUGGUAGGCUGCAGUCCAUAGGGUCACUAAGAGUCGGACAUGACUG
Molecule: unclassified non-coding RNA, 307 nt
Gene: 7SK
Rfam family: 7SK RNA
About the family: 7SK was discovered as an abundant small nuclear RNA in the mid-70s but a possible function has only recently been suggested. Two independent studies have found that 7SK RNA binds the CDK9/cyclin T complex (known as elongation factor P-TEFb).
Source: Ensembl